GACGAACGCUGGCGGCGUGCUUAACACAUGCAAGUCGAACGAUGAAAGAGGAGCUUGCUCCUCUGGAUUAGUGGCGAACGGGUGAGUAACACGUGAGCAAUCUGCCCCUGACUCCGGAAUAACUACGGGAAACUGUAGCUAAUACCGGAUAUGCGCCGAACAGGCAUCUGUAUCGGUGGGAAAGAAUUUCGGUCAGGGAUGAGCUCGCGGCCUUUCAGCUUGUUGGUGAGGUAACGGCUCACCAAGGCGACGACGGGUAGCCGGCCUGAGAGGGUGACCGGCCACAUUGGGACUGAGACACGGCCCAGACUCCUACGGGAGGCAGCAGUGGGGAAUAUUGCACAAUGGGCGCAAGCCUGAUGCAGCAACGCCGCGUGAGGGAUGACGGCCUUCGGGUUGUAAACCUCUUUUAGCAGGGAAGAAGCGAAAGUGACGGUACCUGCAGAAAAAGCGCCGGCUAACUACGUG
Molecule: ribosomal RNA, 468 nt
Filed under: uncultured bacterium
Lineage: Bacteria
Description: partial 16S ribosomal RNA
Rfam family: Bacterial small subunit ribosomal RNA
Source: RNAcentral